This 93-nucleotide transfer RNA is filed under the name Streptomyces galilaeus. RNAcentral describes it as "tRNA-Val". The record is from RNAcentral. Lineage: Bacteria; Bacillati; Actinomycetota; Actinomycetes; Kitasatosporales; Streptomycetaceae.
GCGGCGAUGCCGGGCGGUGCCGGGGCCAGCGGCACCAGCAGGUCGGUCGGCGCCGGAUGGCCGGUGGUGCCGUCCGAGGCGCAGUCGCCGUGC